Long non-coding RNA from Lagopus muta (rock ptarmigan), 905 nucleotides. RefSeq lists it as uncharacterized. The record is from RefSeq and is a predicted model, not a curated record. The transcript has 2 exons. Lineage: Eukaryota; Metazoa; Chordata; Aves; Galliformes; Phasianidae.
UGAUGCCUUGCCUCUCCCACUUUCUUCACAUCAUGAAGAGGUUCAAAUGCAUCCGGCACAGGCUCUCCCACGCGCCUGCAAGCACUCAGGUUUGCAGCUCUGCUGGUGAGCCUAGCGUUCCCCGGCAAUACCUUUGUGAUAAAAGAUGAAAAACAUGAAGAAGUCACCUCGGAAUUGCUGCAGAUUUUCUCAGCCCUGAAAGAGAAUUGAAACAACUUCACAUCAGUGAAGCUGACUGUGAUGCUGCCAAAUAGAAAUUAUUAUUAUAAAGCCUUUAGCUGUUAGCAUAACAAAAUAGAUCUUAGAUUAAUGUUACCCAAAACAGCCUUUAAUGGAAAAAGAAGCCACACCCUGCUAUGUCUCUGAAUUUAAGGGAUGCAAAAAAACAACGAUAAGAGAGACCACACAAUUAUGUACAGAGCACAGUGUUCCAAAAGUUUCACAAAUAAGGGCAUGGAAGAGCAAAUCCUGUUGGUAGUUCUCAUAAGUAAAAGAUGACUUCAUUUAUUAUUUUACCAAAUGGCAUUCUCUGAUUCAAGUAAUUAAUAUAUAUGUUGGAAGACUCAGCUCAGGACACCCCACUAAAGGCUUAUGUUUUUUGCACAUUAACUGUAAAUUUCAUUAUGAAUGAAGGAAAAAUAAGAUGUGUGGAUUUUUGAACAUCAUAAAUGAUUGUGUGCCCCAUUAAAACUGUAUAUUUUGUAUGCUUUUUCUUCCCUGCUAAAACAUGUCCUUACAGUGACCUUACAGCUAUGCAAUGUCCCUGUAGGACAACACCAUAAAGAGGCUGCUAAGUUGUAGAUUAAUUUGCUAUCUGCUAGUAAAUAUUAAUCUACUGUCAUUAAAAUGGGAGCAGAAUGCCCACAUCUGUGUCAGAGUCAGACCUUUGGAGACCAUGUUAAUGU